Molecule: microRNA, 23 nt
Filed under: Mus musculus (house mouse)
Lineage: Eukaryota; Metazoa; Chordata; Mammalia; Rodentia; Muridae
Description: mmu-miR-6369
Source: miRBase by way of RNAcentral
UGGCUCAGUUCAGUGUUGGUGAG